Molecule: ribosomal RNA, 468 nt
Filed under: uncultured bacterium
Lineage: Bacteria
Description: partial 16S ribosomal RNA
Rfam family: Bacterial small subunit ribosomal RNA
Source: RNAcentral
GAUGAACGCUGGCGGCGUGCUUAACACAUGCAAGUCGAACGGAAAGGCCCUGCUUUUGUGGGGUGCUCGAGUGGCGAACGGGUGAGUAACACGUGAGUAACCUGCCCUUGACUUUGGGAUAACUUCAGGAAACUGGGGCUAAUAUCGGAUAGGAUCUCCUGCUGCAUGGUGGGGGUUGGAAAGUUUCGGCGGUUGGGGAUGGACUCGCGGCUUAUCAGCUUGUUGGUGGGGUAGUGGCAUACCAAGGCUUUGACGGGUAGCCGGCCUGAGAGGGUGACCGGCCACAUUGGGACUGAGGUACGGACCAGACUCCUACGGGAGGCAGCAGUGGGGAGUAUUGCACAAUGGGCGGAAGCCUGAUGCAGCAACGCCGCGUGCGGGAUGACGGCUUUCGGGUUAUGAACCGCUUUCGCCUGUGACGAAGCGUGAGUGACGGUAAUGGGUAAAGAAGCACCGGCUAACUACGUG